RNAcentral lists this transfer RNA (72 nucleotides) under Patescibacteria group bacterium. RNAcentral describes it as "tRNA-Arg". It matches the Rfam family "tRNA". From Rfam's summary of the family: Transfer RNA (tRNA) molecules are approximately 80 nucleotides in length. Their secondary structure includes four short double-helical elements and three loops (D, anti-codon, and T loops). Further hydrogen bonds mediate the characteristic L-shaped molecular structure. tRNAs have two regions of fundamental functional importance: the anti-codon, which is responsible for specific mRNA codon recognition, and the 3' end, to which the tRNAs corresponding amino acid is attached (by aminoacyl-tRNA synthetases). tRNAs cope with the degeneracy of the genetic code in two manners: having more than one tRNA (with a specific anti-codon) for a particular amino acid; and 'wobble' base-pairing, i.e. permitting non-standard base-pairing at the 3rd anti-codon position. The record is from RNAcentral.
GCCCUUGUAGUUCAAUGGAUAGAGCGCAAGCCUCCGGAGCUUGAAAUAGAGGUUCAAAUCCUCUCAAGGGCA